This 22-nucleotide microRNA is filed under the name Medicago truncatula (barrel medic). RNAcentral describes it as "mtr-miR2587b". The record is from miRBase by way of RNAcentral. Lineage: Eukaryota; Viridiplantae; Streptophyta; Magnoliopsida; Fabales; Fabaceae.
UUGACCGUUCAUAUGAACCCUG